AAAAGUAACUAUCUAUGUACAAUAUUAUUAAUAUUAAUGAUCUCGCAUGUGUGUAAAUGAAACAGUGAGAGAAGUGGUGUGUUGGCAAUGAUUAGAACGAAAUAGUUCCAUAGCCAAAAUAUAUAUUUUUUGACUUUCCGCGUGUAUUUAAGAAUUUGUGUGGGUAUUUGUUAAGUUUGAACAUUUUUUUAAAUCUCUGGUGAAAUAAAAACGUUAUGUUAACGGUAAAAAAAUAUUACGUGCCGAAACCGUGGUCGCGCAUUAAUAAUGUUAAUAGUCACUUGAUUGUUUUCUCUUUCAGCCGUUUGCAGUCUGCACAGAUUACGCCAUAUUGCAGUGUGUUUUAAUAUAUUACUGACCGUGAAAUAACGUACAGUUUGUGUUUCAGGAUUUUGUGUUAAUAUUGUGUAUUUUAACUUUGUUAUAUUAUUUAUUAUCUACUAUUGUAAUGAUGGAAUUUGUUAUCGUUUUGAUAUUUUGUGUGGUUCUUGUGAUUGCUGUAAUGGUAAUUGGUUCCGGAAUGGGGAAAGCUACUUCUUCGCAGCGUCAGAUGGACAUCAUUAACGUCGCUCAGAACUUAUAUGUUUUAAUUAAAAAAGACGACUUGAAGAAAUGUGACGUUACGCAGACGACCGCGUUUCUUCUUAACAUCGCAAAGUCAACUGUUCUCAAGUAAGUAGGCUUUUUUCGUUUUCAUGGACGUAAAAAAAAUAUCGACUGUGUCCUAAGUAUUGUCGGCUUGUGUUUUAACUCACGAGGUUUUUUGUGUUUUAUUUCCAAUUUAUAUUUUUUGGUGUGAGACAACACCACCAUGUGGCGUCUCUGUUGAAAAGUUAACCUAAAAUCAUAUUAGGCCUACUCAGGUCCUAACAAUAACAAUAUAGGCACUUUCAAGUAUUUUUAUGGGUGUGAUACACGUUUGUUUAUAACGAUGUUUAUAAACUUUAUGAUAGGUUUAACUAUAACAUAAGGGAGUGAUUUUAUAAUUUGCAUUUAAUUAGUUUUUCAUCUGUUUGGGAGAUCACAAAAUAAAUAAAAAAACACUUCAUUAAUUUCGUGGACAAAGUCUGUCAUGUUUCCAUUUAGUGACCACAAAGCAAAUAUUUGUGACAAAAUGCCAUAUUUGGAACACUGCCUAACUGCGUAUUGUGAACGGGUCCCCGGAAAAGUGUUAUGACAAAUGUUUUUUUUUUUGGUUAGGUACUACAAGAAAGACAUUGAAGAAGUUUCAACACCAGGAAAAAAGAGGAAAAAAAGGCCACAGGAAGGAAAGUCACUUGACACAGUCGACGAUUUCACAGUAAAUGCAAUCAGGAAUGCAAUUUACAGGAUGUACGCUGAAGGUUUGAAUGUUACAGUCGACACCAUUUUGAAAGAAAUCAGGGAAAGACAAAUAGAUUAUUAUGGUGGAAGAUCAAGUCUUCAUAAAUUGUUAAAGAAGAUGGGAUUUUCAUGGACAACUGUUGAUGGACGAAAAGCUUUGAUAGAGAAUGAAAACAUAGUAUUGAAGCGAAUAGAUUUCUUGAGAAAGUAUAAAGAAGAAAAAGAAAGCGGUGCCAAUUUCAUAUUUGUUGAUGAAACAUGGAUUUUCCAGAGAGGCAAGGCAUUAAUUUAUUUGAAAAUUUGUUCUGUGGUCCAAUACAAAGUAUUUCAUUUCCAUUUCAUAUAUUUUUCAGGAACUGUAUCAAAGUCAUGGCAGGACAAGAGUCUACAAUCUGCGAAGAGACGUACUGUUGGAGAUGGUAAAAGGUUUAUUGUUGUUAAUGCUGGAGGGCGCACUGGCUUUGUGCCAGGAGCAGGAUUACUUUUUGUUUCAGGUCAGAAGACUGCAGACUACCAUGGCGAGAUGAAUGGGGAAACUUUCUUGAUGUGGUUUGAAGACAUGUUGGUGCAUAAUGGACAAUGCUUCAUAUCACAGCACCCAGAUGGGCGAGGUGUGUGGAUCACGUGGAGAAGCUAAUUCAAGCAGACUGGGAGAGAGAAGUCCACAUAGACAGCGGCACCAUUCCUCCACUCAUCAUCCACCUCGGCGAGGAUAGUUCAAGUGAAGACAGUGACAGCGAAGAAUUUGAGGUUACGACACAGCAAGUAGAUGGAGACAGUGAAGUACUGGCAGUUCCUCUUGAUGAUUUACCCGGGUGUUCUUAUUGAGGUCUGUAUGUAAUAAACACCUGGGCAACUGUAAGUAUUGGGGUUUGAAACAUUUUUUUUUUCUUUUAUGCAUUCCCAUUAAGUAUGUUGAUUACUGGAACUUUAUGUAUUAACUUUAUAUUACACAUAUUAUAAAAUUAAUAAUAAAUUUCAUUUCUGGAUUCGUAUAGGUGUAUGUGAAACAUUUUAUUUUGUUGUGUCUCUUCAUUUUUCAGUGAACUUACUUGGAAAACAAAAAGCCAGUCCCCAUCCAGGGCCACGAAUAAAUAAUGCAUAUAAGUGGUAUAGAAAUUACUGUCAAUUCUUUACCACAAUUUUACUGUUCAUAAAAUUAUGAUUUUGUCUAAUAAGUAUACUCAGGAAAAUGUAUAUAACCAUAUUUUUAUUUGUGGUAGGGGUUUAUUAAAUAAAAGAAGAAAAUUCAUUUUUAAAUGUUUUCAUCUGAAUUUGUUAAUUUUAUUAAAUCUUCAAUCCUUAGUCUUUUCCAGAUUGCUUAGAUGGACAGCCAUAUGUAUAAUUUACAAUACUUUUUUUUUCAGAUGCAGAAAACUGUGUUGAA
This is a long non-coding RNA of Bacillus rossius redtenbacheri, 2710 nucleotides long. RefSeq lists it as uncharacterized. Lineage: Eukaryota; Metazoa; Arthropoda; Insecta; Phasmatodea; Bacillidae. The transcript has 3 exons. The record is from RefSeq and is a predicted model, not a curated record.